AUGCAGUCGAGCGGACCGACGGGAGCUUGCUCCCUUAGGUCAGCGGCGGACGGGUGAGUAACACGUGGGUAACCUGCCUGUAAGACUGGGAUAACUCCGGGAAACCGGGGCUAAUACCGGAUGCUUGAUUGAACCGCAUGGUUCAAUCAUAAAAGGUGGCUUUUAGCUACCACUUACAGAUGGACCCGCGGCGCAUUAGCUAGUUGGUGAGGUAACGGCUCACCAAGGCGACGAUGCGUAGCCGACCUGAGAGGGUGAUCGGCCACACUGGGACUGAGACACGGCCCAGACUCCUACGGGAGGCAGCAGUAGGGAAUCUUCCGCAAUGGACGAAAGUCUGACGGAGCAACGCCGCGUGAGUGAUGAAGGUUUUCGGAUCGUAAAACUCUGUUGUUAGGGAAGAACAAGUACCGUUCGAAUAGGGCGGUACCUUGACGGUACCUAACCAGAAAGCCACGGCUAACUACGUGCCAGCAGCCGCGGUAAUACGUAGGUGGCAAGCGUUGUCCGGAAUUAUUGGGCGUAAAGCGCGCGCAGGCGGUUUCUUAAGUCUGAUGUGAAAGCCCCCGGCUCAACCGGGGAGGGUCAUUGGAAACUGGGGAACUUGAGUGCAGAAGAGGAGAGUGGAAUUCCACGUGUAGCGGUGAAAUGCGUAGAGAUGUGGAGGAACACCAGUGGCGAAGGCGACUCUCUGGUCUGUAACUGACGCUGAGGCGCG
RNAcentral lists this ribosomal RNA (718 nucleotides) under Bacillus licheniformis. RNAcentral's name for it is "bacterial SSU rRNA". It matches the Rfam family "Bacterial small subunit ribosomal RNA", at positions 55 to 755 of the family's 1533-position model. The record is from RNAcentral. Lineage: Bacteria; Bacillati; Bacillota; Bacilli; Caryophanales; Bacillaceae.